GACGAACGCUGGCGGCGUGCUUAACACAUGCAAGUCGAACGAAGUGGCGAACGGGUGAGUAACGCGUAAUCAACCUGCCCUUCAGAGGGGGACAACAGGUGAAAACGAGUGCUAAUACCGCAUACUGAAGGGGGGGAUUGCGUCUGAUUAGCUAGUUGGAGGGGUAACGGCACACCAAGGCGAUGAUCAGUAGCCGGGCUGGGAGGGUGAACGGCCACAUUGGGACUGGGACACGGGCCAGACUCCUACGGGAGGCAGCAGUGGGGAAUCUUCCGCAAUGGACGAAAGUCUGACGGAGCAACGCCGCGUGAGUGAUGACGGCCUUCGGGUUGUAAAGCUCUGUUAAUCGGGACGCGGUACCGGAAUAGAAAGCCACGGCUAACUACGUGCCAGCCGCCGCGUUAAUUC
RNAcentral lists this ribosomal RNA (408 nucleotides) under uncultured bacterium. RNAcentral describes it as "partial 16S ribosomal RNA". It matches the Rfam family "Bacterial small subunit ribosomal RNA", at positions 28 to 526 of the family's 1533-position model. The record is from RNAcentral.